GAUUAUGGCUCAGGAUGAACGCUGGCGGCGUGCCUAACACAUGCAAGUCGAACGGUGAAAGGGGACGGAACCCUCCGGGGGAAGUAACCUGGAACAGUGACGGACGGGUGAGUAACGCGUGGAUAACCUGCCUCAUACAGGGGGAUAACAGAGAGAAAUCACUGCUAAUACCGCAUAAGCGCACGAGGGCCGCAUGGCCCGGUGUGAAAAAACUCCGGUGGUAUGAGAUGGAUCCGCGUCCGAUUAGCCAGUUGGCGGGGUAAAGGCCCACCAAAGCAACGAUCGGUAGCCGGCCUGAGAGGGCGGACGGCCACAUUGGGACUGAGACACGGCCCAGACUCCUACGGGAGGCAGCAGUGGGGGAUAUUGCACAAUGGGGGGAACCCUGAUGCAAGCGACGCCGCGUGGGUGAAGAAGUAUUUCGGUAUGUAAAGCCCUAUCAGCAGGGACGAUAAUGACGGUACCUGAGUAAGAAGCCCCGGCUAACUACGUGCCAGCAGCAGC
Molecule: ribosomal RNA, 504 nt
Filed under: uncultured bacterium
Lineage: Bacteria
Description: bacterial SSU rRNA
Rfam family: Bacterial small subunit ribosomal RNA
Source: RNAcentral